Molecule: ribosomal RNA, 439 nt
Filed under: uncultured bacterium
Lineage: Bacteria
Description: partial 16S ribosomal RNA
Rfam family: Bacterial small subunit ribosomal RNA
Source: RNAcentral
CUACGGGGCGCAGCAGUGAGGAAUAUUGCACAAUGGGGGGAACCCUGAUGCAGCAACGCCGCGUGGAGGAUGACGCAUUUCGGUGUGUAAACUCCUUUUAUAUGUCAAGAAAAUGACGGUAGCAUAUGAAUAAGCACUGGCUAACUCCGUGCCAGCAGCCGCGGUAAUACGGAGGGUGCAAGCGUUACUCGGAAUCACUGGGCGUAAAGGACGCGUAGGCGGGUUGGAAAGUCAGGUGUGAAACCCUACAGCUUAACUGUAGAACUGCACUUGAAACUUCUAAUCUAGAGUAUGGGAGGGGGAGAUGGAAUUAGUGGUGUAGGGGUAAAAUCCGUAGAUAUCACUAGGAAUACCUAAAGCGAAGGCGAUCUCCUGGAACAUUACUGACGCUAAGGCGUGAAAGCGUGGGGAGCAAACAGGAUUAGAUACCCCGGUAGUC